GCACGAGCUAGACCGGGGAGGUCGGCGUUCCCUGUAACCAGAAAUCGUCGAUAUGCUGGGGUCGAAGUCGAGGGGCGGUGCGUGAGGUGGCGAGGUGAUCCACCCGCGGACGAUGAGGUUUCGUCCCCAGGGGCUGGAGGUGAUGUAAGCGUGUGGCUGGAGAGCCACGCGCGCAUCUUUGCUGUGGGGACCGGGUCAGGCCCGGAAGGGGGCAGCCCCACCACAGACUGCCAGCGCUCUGGGGGUAGCGAAGCUGAGAAAGCGGGUGGGCAAUCAUCUGCCGCCCCGCGCAUCCACCCGAGACGCGCUCGUGC
RNAcentral lists this signal recognition particle RNA (314 nucleotides) under Thermoplasmata archaeon. Its description in RNAcentral is "signal recognition particle sRNA". It matches the Rfam family "Archaeal signal recognition particle RNA". The record is from RNAcentral. Lineage: Archaea; Methanobacteriati; Thermoplasmatota; Thermoplasmata.